GGGGCGUAGCAAUACGCUCGCUGGCGACCGGCAAACGGGUGCGGAACACGUACACAACCUUCCUUGAAGUGGGGAAUAGCCCGGGGAAACCCGGAUUAAUACCCCGUAAUAUAAUGAAGCGGCAUCGUUUUAUUAUUAAAGCUCCGGCGCUUUAAGAUGGGUGUGCGACUGAUUAGGCAGUUGGCGGGGUAACGGCCCACCAAACCUACGAUCAGUAACUGGUGUGAGAGCACGACCAGUCACACGGGCACUGAGACACGGGCCCGACUCCUACGGGAGGCAGCAGUAAGGAAUAUUGGUCAAUGGACGCAAGUCUGAACCAGCCAUGCCGCGUGGAGGAUGAAGGUCCUCUGGAUUGUAAACUUCUUUUAUCUGGGAAGAAACCCAUGAAUUCUUUUGUGGUUGACGGUACCAGAUGAAUAAGCACCGGCUAACUCCGUGCCAGCAGCCGCGGUAAUACGGAGGGUGCAAGCGUUAUCCGGAUUCACUGGGUUUAAAGGGUGCGUAGGUGGGUUGGUAAGUCAGUGGUGAAAUCUCCAGGCUUAACUUGGAAACUGCCAUUGAUACUAUCAAUCUUGAAUACCGUGGAGGUCAGCGGAAUAUGUCAUGUAGCGGUGAAAUGCUUAGAUAUGACAUAGAACACCAAUUGCGAAGGCAGCUGGCUACGCGGAUAUUGACACUGAUGCACGAAAGCGUGGGGAUCAAACAGGAUUAGAUACCCUGGUAGUCCACGCCCUAAACGAUGGAUACUCGACAUACGCGAUAUACUGUGUGUGUCUGAGCGAAAGCAUUAAGUAUCCCACCUGGGAAGUACGAUCGCAAGAUUGAAACUC
This 833-nucleotide ribosomal RNA is filed under the name uncultured Sphingobacteriia bacterium. RNAcentral describes it as "bacterial SSU rRNA". It matches the Rfam family "Bacterial small subunit ribosomal RNA", at positions 71 to 902 of the family's 1533-position model. Lineage: Bacteria; Pseudomonadati; Bacteroidota; Sphingobacteriia. The record is from RNAcentral.